Molecule: small RNA, 703 nt
Filed under: Pongo abelii (Sumatran orangutan)
Lineage: Eukaryota; Metazoa; Chordata; Mammalia; Primates; Hominidae
Description: processed transcript
Source: RNAcentral
GUAGGCUCCUGCGCCUUUCCAGCGGUGUGCUCCACUGGCUGCCUGCAUCCUGGGGCUCAAGUGCUGUCGGGACUGCAAGGGAAAUGCUGGGUAGGGCAGUGGGCUUCGAGCAGCCCCCAAUGGGUGACAGGUCUCUCUGCUAGAUACCACAAGGAACCCGAGGCCCGGCGAGGAGAACGGCAAAGGGAGGUGAUGCAGCGUGACAUAGCAGCCGGCGACUUCAUCGAGCAUGCCGAGUUCUCGGGGAACCUGUAUGGCACGAGCAAGGCGGCGGUGCAGGCCGUGCAGGCCAUGAACCGCAUCUGCGUGCUGGACGUGGACCUGCAGGGUGUGCGGAACAUCAAGGCCACCGAUCUGCGGCCCAUCUACAUCUCUGUGCAGCCGCCUUCACUGCAUGUGCUGGUGUGUGCUGGGCAGGGUUGGGGGCUGGGGGCCAGGGCAUGCCAGGCUCUGAUUGCCACCCCCUUUUUAGGAGCAGCGGCUGCGGCGGCGCAACACUGAAACGGAGGAGAGCCUGGCGAAGCGGCUGGCUGCUGCCCAGGCCGACAUGGAGAGCAGCAAGGAGCCUGGCCUGUUUGAUGUGGUCAUCGUUAAUGACAGCCUGGACCAGGCCUACGCAGAGCUGAAGGAGGCGCUCUCUGAGGAAAUCAAGAAAGCUCAAAGGACCGGCGCCUGAGGCUUGCUCUCUGUUCUCGGCACCCCG